AAGAGUUGCUUAUUGUUUCGAA
Molecule: non-coding RNA, 22 nt
Filed under: Mus musculus (house mouse)
Lineage: Eukaryota; Metazoa; Chordata; Mammalia; Rodentia; Muridae
Source: RNAcentral